UAUAAAAUCUGAAGCUUUGAAAUACAUUUUUUAUUUGGGCACUUUAAAUGUAUAGAGCUAGUAGUGCAACCGACUGAUUUAUUC
This 84-nucleotide non-coding RNA is filed under the name Clostridium colicanis 209318. RNAcentral's name for it is "Cyclic di-GMP-II riboswitch aptamer". It matches the Rfam family "Cyclic di-GMP-II riboswitch aptamer". The record is from Rfam by way of RNAcentral. Lineage: Bacteria; Bacillati; Bacillota; Clostridia; Eubacteriales; Clostridiaceae.